CUAGAAUAUUUUAUACAUAAUCCUAUUGCAUGCAGCCUUGCUUCAGGAAUAUUCUAGAGGUGGCACCUGCAAUCAAAGCCUCCUCCUGCUCACUGUCAGUAGUUCAGUCAAUUUGGAGAGGAAAGAAAGUAACACAUCACAGCAAGUCUUCAGAUGUUUAUAGACUGCUCAGAAGAAAGCUCUCUUCAGAGUCAGUGCAAUUGACCUGAAGCCCAGGAAGAAGAAUCUUUAGGAGCCAGAGAUACAUGCCCCAUCCUCCUUCAGAGUGCCGGGGUCAGGCAGGGCCCAUGAAGGCUGAAGAGGACACCCUCCGAGCAAAACCCACUGCCAAGUGGAAAUUUACACCAAGCAAGGACUAGGAAGCUGGAUCUGCGAGGAGCCGAG
RNAcentral lists this long non-coding RNA (384 nucleotides) under Gorilla gorilla gorilla (western lowland gorilla). RNAcentral's name for it is "lncRNA (ENSGGOG00000044613.1)". Lineage: Eukaryota; Metazoa; Chordata; Mammalia; Primates; Hominidae. The record is from RNAcentral.